AGAUGGUGAACUAUGCCUGAAUAGGGCGAAGCCAGGGGAAACCCUGGUGGAAGCCCGCAGCGAUUCUGACGUGCAAAUCGAUCGUCAAAUUUGGGUAUAGGGGCGAAAGACUAAUCGAACCAUCUAGUAGCUGGUUCCCUCCGAAGUUUCCCUCAGGAUAGCUGGAGCCCGGUGGCAGUUUUAUCAGGUAAAGCGAAUGAUUAGAGGUCUUGGGGUCGAAACGACCUCAACCUAUUCUCAAACUUUAAAUGGGUAAGAAGUCCGGCUUGCUCGAUUGAAGUCGGACGCGGAAUGCCGGGGUUCCUAGUGGGCCAUUUUUGGUAAGCAGAACUGGCGAUGUGGGAUGAACCGAAAGCCGGGUUAAGGUGCCCGAAUCGACGCUCAGCA
This 387-nucleotide ribosomal RNA is filed under the name Mycale laxissima. Its description in RNAcentral is "eukaryotic LSU rRNA". It matches the Rfam family "Eukaryotic large subunit ribosomal RNA", at positions 821 to 1207 of the family's 3401-position model. Lineage: Eukaryota; Metazoa; Porifera; Demospongiae; Poecilosclerida; Mycalidae. The record is from RNAcentral.